UGUAGCAAUACACGAGUGGCGCACGGGUGAGUAACGCGUGGAUAUCUGCCUUUUGGUUCGGAAUAACCCCGGGAAACUGGGGCUAAUACCGGAUGGUUCCUACGGGAUAAAGAUUUAUCGCCAAAAGAUGAGUCCGCGUACGAUUAGCUAGUUGGUGAGGUAAUGGCUCACCAAGGCGACGAUCGUUAGCUGGUCUGAGAGGACGAUCAGCCACACUGGGACUGAGACACGGCCCAGACUCCUACGGGAGGCAGCAGUGGGGAAUAUUGGACAAUGGGGGCAACCCUGAUCCAGCCAUGCCGCGUGAGUGAUGAAGGCCUUCGGGUUGUAAAGCUCUUUUGGCGGGGACGAUGAUGACGGUACCCGCAGAAUAAGCCCCGGCUAACUUCGUGCCAGCAGCCGCGGUAAGACGAAGGGGGCUAGCGUUGUUCGGAAUUACUGGGCGUAAAGCGAGUGUAGGCGGUUAUCCAAGUUGGAUGUGAAAGCCUUGAGCUUAACUCAAGAAAUGCAUUCAGGACUGGAUGACUAGAGGACCGGAGAGGAUAGUGGAAUUCCCAGUGUAGUGGUGAAAUACGUAGAGAUUGGGAAGAACACCAGUGGCCGAAGGCGGCUAUCUGGACGGUACUGACGCUAAG
Molecule: ribosomal RNA, 635 nt
Filed under: Reyranella sp.
Lineage: Bacteria; Pseudomonadati; Pseudomonadota; Alphaproteobacteria; Hyphomicrobiales; Reyranellaceae
Description: bacterial SSU rRNA
Rfam family: Bacterial small subunit ribosomal RNA
Source: RNAcentral